RNAcentral lists this small RNA (223 nucleotides) under Arabidopsis thaliana (thale cress). Its description in RNAcentral is "ATSL157580". Lineage: Eukaryota; Viridiplantae; Streptophyta; Magnoliopsida; Brassicales; Brassicaceae. The record is from RNAcentral.
AGUACCAAAUAUUUAAAUGCUGGUACCAUUGUGUCUUUGAAUGUUCUCUAAUAAAUAGGUACAAAACUGUUUCUCUUUUUAAACUCGGAUUAGUAGUGUAGUGGCCCAAUUCUAUGUAGAUCGGGAGAAGUCCAUUCCGUAACAUUUCGAUGCGUUUCUACCGAAACUAACCGGAUUAGCCGAUAUGAUAUAUUAAAAAAAAAAUUCUAUAAUAGACAAGUAU